Molecule: ribosomal RNA, 481 nt
Filed under: uncultured Alphaproteobacteria bacterium
Lineage: Bacteria; Pseudomonadati; Pseudomonadota; Alphaproteobacteria
Description: bacterial SSU rRNA
Rfam family: Bacterial small subunit ribosomal RNA
Source: RNAcentral
GAGUUUGAUCCUGGCUCAGAACGAACGCUGGCGGCAUGCCUAACACAUGCAAGUCGAACGGGAUCCUGGCUUCGGCCAGGUGAGAGUGGCGGACGGGUGAGUAACGCGUGGGAACCUGCCCAAUGGUCUGGGAUAACCGCGGGAAACUGCGGCUAAUACCGGAUAAGCCCGAGAGGGGAAAGAUUUAUCGCCGAUGGAGGGGCCCGCGUCCGAUUAGGUAGUUGGUGAGGUAACGGCUCACCAAGCCGACGAUCGGUAGCUGGUCUGAGAGGAUGAUCAGCCACACUGGGACUGAGAUACGGCCCAGACUCCUACGGGAGGCAGCAGUGGGGAAUAUUGGACAAUGGGGGCAACCCUGAUCCAGCAAUGCCGCGUGAGUGAUGAAGGCCUUAGGGUUGUAAAGCUCUUUUGGCGGGGACGAUGAUGACGGUACCCGCAGAAUAAGCCCCGGCUAACUUCGUGCCAGCAGCCGCCGCUGUAA